CAACGUGGGUAACCUGCCUUAUAGUGGGGGAUAGCCUUUCGAAAGGAAGAUUAAUACCGCAUAAGAUUGUAGUAUCGCAUGAUAUAGCAAUUAAAGGAAGCAAUUCGCUAUAAGAUGGACCCGCGUCGCAUUAGCUAGUUGGUGAGGUAAUGGCUCACCAAGGCGACGAUGCGUAGCCGACCUGAGAGGGUGAUCGGCCACAUUGGGACUGAGACACGGCCCAGACUCCUACGGGAGGCAGCAUG
RNAcentral lists this ribosomal RNA (245 nucleotides) under uncultured bacterium. Its description in RNAcentral is "partial 16S ribosomal RNA". It matches the Rfam family "Bacterial small subunit ribosomal RNA", at positions 113 to 353 of the family's 1533-position model. The record is from RNAcentral.